UCGACCUGAACUCAGACGUGAAUACCCGCUGAACUU
This 36-nucleotide ribosomal RNA is filed under the name Meloidogyne nataliei. RNAcentral describes it as "partial 28S ribosomal RNA". Lineage: Eukaryota; Metazoa; Nematoda; Chromadorea; Rhabditida; Meloidogynidae. The record is from RNAcentral.